CCCUUAGAUGUUCUGGGCCGCACGCGCGCUACACUGAUUCAUGCACUAAGUAUGUAACCUUGGUAGAAAUGCUUGGGUAAUCUUUGAAACUGAAUCGUGCUGGGGAUUGGAGCUUGUAAUUAUUCUCCAUGAACGAGGAAUUCCUAGUAAACGCGAGUCAUCAGCUCGCAUUGAUUACGUCCCUGCCCUUUGUACACACCGCCCGUCGCACCUACCGAUUGAAUGGUCCGGUGAAAUCUUCGGACCGGGCGAUAGUCAGCAAUGACCGUUGCCUGGAAAGUUGCUUAAACCUUACCAUUUAGAGGAAGGUGAAGUCGUAACA
Molecule: ribosomal RNA, 322 nt
Filed under: uncultured eukaryote
Lineage: Eukaryota
Description: partial 18S ribosomal RNA
Rfam family: Eukaryotic small subunit ribosomal RNA
Source: RNAcentral